ACUUUACAAUGCGGGAAACCGUGAUAAGGGGACACCGAGUGCUAGCAUCAUAUGCUGGCUGUCCAGGUGUGUAAAAUACACCUGUUAGCAAGGGCCGGGCAAGACCGGUGCCAGCCGCCGCGGUAACACAGGCGGCCCGAGUGGUGAUCGUGAUUAUUGGGUCUAAAGGGUCCGUAGCCGGUUUGGUCAGUCCUCCGGGAAAUCUGAUAGCUCAACUAUUAGGCUUUCGGGGGAUACUGCCAGACUUGGAACCGGGAGAGGUAAGAGGUACUACAGGGGUAGGAGUGAAAUCUUGUGAUCCCUGUGGGACUACCUGUGGCGAAGGCGUCGUACCAGAACGGGUUCGACGGUGAGGGACGAAAGCUGGGGGCACGAACCGG
This 380-nucleotide ribosomal RNA is filed under the name Methanosarcina barkeri. RNAcentral describes it as "bacterial SSU rRNA". It matches the Rfam family "Archaeal small subunit ribosomal RNA", at positions 347 to 727 of the family's 1478-position model. The record is from RNAcentral. Lineage: Archaea; Methanobacteriati; Methanobacteriota; Methanomicrobia; Methanosarcinales; Methanosarcinaceae.